GGGGGCGUGGCUCAGUGGUAGAGCAUCUGCUUGCCAUGCAGGUCCCAGGUUCAAUCCCCGGCGUCUCCA
This is a non-coding RNA of Gekko japonicus, 69 nucleotides long. NCBI's taxonomy places the organism in Eukaryota, Metazoa, Chordata, Lepidosauria, Squamata, Gekkonidae. The record is from the annotation of a RefSeq genome assembly.